AAGAAUGAGAUGGGUUUUUAUAGCCCAAUCUAUCUGAACUUGUGGUAAUAUUGAUAAAACAUUUGGGCUUUAAAAUGGUAUUUGAUUUCAUUGAAUGCCGGCCCAAAACUUUAUAAACCUCUUUUAUUAUUGACUGAAUAUCAAGUAAAUUAAUCCAUUUGGGUUAAAAAAAGUUUUAAA
RNAcentral lists this unclassified non-coding RNA (180 nucleotides) under uncultured Endogonales. RNAcentral describes it as "sequence contains ITS1". The record is from RNAcentral. Lineage: Eukaryota; Fungi; Mucoromycota; Endogonomycetes; Endogonales.